Molecule: long non-coding RNA, 1179 nt
Organism: Cyprinus carpio (common carp)
Lineage: Eukaryota; Metazoa; Chordata; Actinopteri; Cypriniformes; Cyprinidae
Source: Ensembl
AUGUCAGGCAAGAAAAAACAGUAUUCAAAGGAGAAGUUAAACGAGGCAGUUGAGGAAGUAAAGGCAGGAGCAAGCUUAAGAGAAACAGCAAAAAAUUUGGCAUUCCCCACACCACCCUACAGGACUAUAAAAAAAAACAAAUAUGUCCACAACCCUCAUCCUAAUUCGGCCCUGACACCUGGAGAGGAAGAGGCUCUCCUGUCCUUUAUAUUUUGGAUGGCAGACCAUGGCUUCCCAGUGACAAGAUCCCUGGUCAAAGUUCUGGCUGUUGGGAUUAUUAAAGAGAGUGGCAGAACCGAGACAACCACCGUAAACCUGGAGAAGGGGCCAAGUGAUGUGUGGUGGUCCAGGUUUAAGGCCCGCCAUCCAGAAUUGGCCUCAAGGACGGCAGAUUCCCUGGACAGAGCCAGAGUCCAUGGUGCUACACCGGAGGCCAUUGAGGCAUUCUUCAGGCUGUACGAGGCCCUUUAUGAGAAGCAUAACCUGGAGAACAAGCCACAUCUCAUUUAUAAUUGCGAUGAGACUGGAGACAAGCCUCGGUCCAGGGAGAAGGUCCUGUGCCAGACUGGAAGGAAACAUGUUUACCAACAGCAGCAGACAACCAGGGAGCACAUCACUGUCCACUGCUGUGUGAAUGCAGCCGGAGACAGCAUUCCACCCUUCAUAAUUUACCCCGGCUGCCUCCCAAGUAAUGCCUAUAGGCUGGAUGGGCCCCCCAACGCCCUCUAUGGCAUCCAGGAGAAGGGUUACAUGGACUCCGAGCUCUUCCUGAAAUGGCUCCACCAUUUCAUUAGAUAUGCGCCUGAGGAGAGACCACUAAUUUUAAUCAUGGACCAACACGAGACACACGUAUCUAAAGAAGUAAUCAUGUUCUGCAGAGAAAAGAAUAUUGAAAUUCUCUGCCUACCUGCCCACACCACGCACAUACUACAGCCCCUUGAUAUUGCGGUCUUCAACCCACUGAAGACUGCUUUCUCCACCAUGGCUUCCAGGAUGGGUCUGGUGUGUGGGGACAUUGUUGUGGGGAAGAAGCAGUUUUCAGCUCUCUUCAAACAUGUCUAUCCCACUGCUGUCACAGCCCAAAACAUUAAGGCCGGGUUUCACAUUAAGGCUGGCAUUUUUCCUCUGUCCAGGGCUGCUGUGGACACAACCAAGGUAAUUUUGACAUUAAUACAAUGA